This 459-nucleotide ribosomal RNA is filed under the name uncultured bacterium. RNAcentral describes it as "bacterial LSU rRNA". It matches the Rfam family "Bacterial large subunit ribosomal RNA", at positions 310 to 775 of the family's 2925-position model. The record is from RNAcentral.
CGGACCAGCCGAGCCCUGAAGAGUGAGCAGAAUGGCCUGGAAAGGCCAACCACAGCGGGUGACAGUCCCGUAUGCGAAGCUCCAGGGGACAUAUCAAGUAGGGCGGGACACGUGUAAUCCUGUCUGAAGAUCGGGGGACCACCCCCGAAGGCUAAGUACUCCUUGCUGACCGAUAGCGAACCAGUACCGUGAGGGAAAGGUGAAAAGCACCCCGACGAGGGGAGUGAAACAGUACCUGAAACCGGACGCCUACAAGCAGUCGGAGGGGCCUUGAGCCCUGACGGCGUACCUUUUGUAUAAUGGGUCAACGACUUGGUCUAACGAGCGAGCUUAAGCCGAUAGGUGGAGGCGCAGCGAAAGCGAGUCUUAAAAGGGCGCAUGAGUUCGUUGGAUCAGACCCGAAACCAGGUGAUCUAGCCAUGAGCAGGAUGAAGGUUGGGUAACACCAACUGGAGGUCC